CCGAAGCCGACCAGGAGCCCWGCCCCGCCCWGCGGGAAAGGGAACACUWGGGUUAACCCUUYYGUGAACCAAAAAAACCUUUCGCUUCGGCAGCUWGGGCCUGACCGCCCAUAAGCCUMGCCGCUYGGCACCCAAAACAAACCUGAUGUCAUAACUUAUGUCUGAUAACCAAAUUYUUCGAAUGAAAAUCAAAACUUUCAACAACGGAUCUCUUMGGUUCCCGCAUCGAUGAAGAACGCAGCGAAACGCGAUAGUUAAUGUGAAUUYGCAGAAUUCAGUGAAUCAUCGAGUCUUUGAACGCACAUYGCGCCCAUYGGUAUUCCUUYGGGCAUGUCUGUUUGAGCGUCAUUACAACCCCUCAGCUCUCGCUGGUUUUGAACCCGAACGGUUGACGCCGCGUCCGGUUUUAAAGUUGUAAGCUCUGCUGGCCGCUCUGCCAAACCAGAACAUAGUAAGCACUACUUUUGUUAGGGUGAAGCCGAACGGUACGGCCUGAACAAAACCUACCCCUUCUCAAGGUUUGACCUCAGAUCAGACAAGGAUACCCGCUGAACUUAAGCA
This 561-nucleotide ribosomal RNA is filed under the name Arthrobotrys amerospora. RNAcentral describes it as "eukaryotic LSU rRNA". Lineage: Eukaryota; Fungi; Ascomycota; Orbiliomycetes; Orbiliales; Orbiliaceae. The record is from RNAcentral.